AGAGUUUGAUCCUGGCUCAGGAUGAACGCUGGCGGCGUGCCUAAUACAUGCAAGUCGAGCGAGAAGCUACUUUGAAGCGUUUUCGGACAAUUCUGUGUAGUGGAAAGCGGCGGACGGGUGAGUAACGCGUAGGCAACCUGCCCUUAGCAGAGGGAUAGCCAUUGGAAACGAUGAUUAAAACCUCAUAAUGCCAACUUAACACAUGUUGAGCUGGCCAAAGAUUUAUCGGCUAAGGAUGGGCCUGCGUCUGAUUAACUAGUUGGCGGGGUAACGGCCCACCAAGGUGACGAUCAGUAGCCGACCUGAGAGGGUGAUCGGCCACAUUGGAACUGAGACACGGUCCAAACUUCUACGGAAGGCAGCAGUAAGGAAUCUUGCACAAUGGGGGAAACCCUGAUGCAGCAACGCCGCGUGAACGAUGAAGGCCUUCGGGUUGUAAAGUUCUGAUCUUGGGGAAGAAGAAAGUGACGGUACCCAAGGAGAAAGCCCCGGCUAACUACGUGCCAGCAGCCGCGGUAAUACGUAGGGGGCAAGCGUUAUCCGGAAUUACUGGGCGUAAAGAGUGCGUAGGCGGCUUUUUAAGCGCGGGGUUUAAGCCAACGGCCCAACCGUUGUUCGCCCCGCGAACUGAAGGGCUUGAGUACAGGAGAGGAAGGCGGAAUUCCUAGUGUAGCGGUGAAAUGCGUAGAUAUUAGGAGGAACACCGGUGGCGAAGGCGGCSUUCUGGACUGAAACUGACGCUGAGGCACGAAAGCGUGGGUAGCAAACAGGAUUAGAUACCCUGGUAGUCCACGCCGUAAACGAUGAGCACUAKGUGUCGGGCUCGAGAGAGUUCGGUGCCGCAGCUAACGCAUUAAGUGCUCCGCCUGGGGAGUACGCACGCAAGUGUAAAACUCAAAGAAAUUGACGGGGACCCGCACAAGCAGCGGAGCAUGUGGUUUAAUUCGAAGCAACGCGAAGAACCUUACCAGGGCUUGACAUCCUCCUGACGGAUCGGGUAAUGCUGAUCUUCUCUUCGGAGCGGGAGUGACAGGUGGUGCAUGGUUGUCGUCAGCUCGUGUCGUGAGAUGUUGGGUUAAGUCCCGCAACGAGCGCAACCCCUGCUGUCAGUUGCCAUCAUUCAGUUGGGCACUCUGACGGGACUGCCGGGGACAACCCGGAGGAAGGCGGGGAUGACGUCAAAUCAUCAUGCCCCUUAUGACCUGGGCUACACACGUAAUACAAUGGUCGUAAACAGAGGGAAGCAAUAUCGCGAGAUGGAGCAAACCCCUAAAAGCGAUCUCAGUUCGGAUCGUAGGCUGCAACCCGCCUGCGUGAAGUUGGAAUUGCUAGUAAUCGCGGAUCAGCAUGCCGCGGUGAAUACGUUCCCGGGCCUUGUACACACCGCCCGUCACACCAUGGGAGUUUGUAACACCCGAAGUCAUUAGUCUAACCGCAAGGAGGACGGUGCCGAAGGUGGGAUAAGCGACUGGGGUGAAGUCGUAACAAGGUAACCGUA
Molecule: ribosomal RNA, 1498 nt
Filed under: uncultured rumen bacterium
Lineage: Bacteria
Description: 16S ribosomal RNA
Rfam family: Bacterial small subunit ribosomal RNA
Source: RNAcentral